UACGAAGGGUGCAAGCGUUGUUCGGAUUUAUUGGGCGUAAAGCGCGCGCAGGCGGAUUGGUAAGUCAGGUGUGAAAUCUCGAGGCUUAACCUCGAAAUUGCGCCUGAAACUACUUGUCUUGAAUACUGGAGAGGGAAGGGGAAUUUCUCAUGUAGGGGUAAAAUCCGUAGAUAUGAGAAGGAACACCAGAGGCGAAGGCGCCUUCCUAGACAGUCAUUGACGCUGAGGCGCGAAAGCGUGGGGAGCAAACAGG
RNAcentral lists this ribosomal RNA (253 nucleotides) under uncultured bacterium. RNAcentral's name for it is "partial 16S ribosomal RNA". It matches the Rfam family "Bacterial small subunit ribosomal RNA", at positions 524 to 776 of the family's 1533-position model. The record is from RNAcentral.